RNAcentral lists this ribosomal RNA (506 nucleotides) under uncultured bacterium. RNAcentral's name for it is "partial 16S ribosomal RNA". It matches the Rfam family "Bacterial small subunit ribosomal RNA", at positions 29 to 523 of the family's 1533-position model. The record is from RNAcentral.
AGUGAACGCUGGCGGUAGGCCUAACACAUGCAAGUCGAACGGCAGCACAGGAGAGCUUGCUCUCUGGGUGGCGAGUGGCGGACGGGUGAGGAAUACAUCGGAAUCUACUCUGUCGUGGGGGAUAACGUAGGGAAACUUACGCUAAUACCGCAUACGACCUACGGGUGAAAGCAGGGGAUCUUCGGACCUUGCGCGGUUGAAUGAGCCGAUGUCGGAUAAGCUAGUUGGCGGGGUAAAGGCCCACCAAGGCGACGAUCCGUAGCUGGUCUGAGAGGAUGAUCAGCCACACUGGAACUGAGACACGGUCCAGACUCCUACGGGAGGCAGCAGUGGGGAAUAUUGGACAAUGGGCGCAAGCCUGAUCCAGCCAUACCGCGUGGGUGAAGAAGGCCUUCGGGUUGUAAAGCCCUUUUGUUGGGAAAGAAAUCCAGCUGGCUAAUACCCGGUUGGGAUGACGGUACCCAAAGAAUAAGCACCGGCUAACUUCGUGCCAGCAGCCGCCGUAA